RNAcentral lists this ribosomal RNA (1210 nucleotides) under uncultured eukaryote. RNAcentral describes it as "SSU rRNA". It matches the Rfam family "Eukaryotic small subunit ribosomal RNA", at positions 577 to 1804 of the family's 1831-position model. The record is from RNAcentral.
CGGUAAUUCCAGCUCCAAUAGCGUAUACUAAUGUUGUUGCAGUUAAAAAGCUCGUAGUCGGAUUUCAUGUAGAGAAGUAUAUUUGGCCCUUUGGGUUACAAAGAAACCAUCUCUGCAUUCUUUUGCUGUUACUGCGUUCUCUCACUUCAUUGUGCGAAACGUAUGUUCGGCACCUUUUACUUUGAGAAAAUUAGAGUGUUCAAAGCAGACAUUUUUGUCUUGAAUAUUACUCAUGGAAUAAUAAUAUAUGACUUCGGUCUUCCUUUGUUGGUGUUUGUAGGCUGGAGUAAUGAUUGAUAGGGACAGUUGGGGUCAUUAGUACUCCUUAGCGAGAGGUGAAAUUCUUAGACCUUAGGAAGACUAACUACUGCGAAAGCAUUUGACAAGGAUGUUCCCGUUGAUCAAGAACGAAAGUUGAGGGAUCGAAGACGAUCAGAUACCGUCGUAGUCUCAACCAUAAACUAUGCCAGCUAGGGAUUGGGAGAGGCCUAAAUUUUCAAAGACUCUCUCAGCACCUUAUGAGAAAUCAAAGCAUUUGGGUUCCGGGGGGAGUAUGGUCGCAAGGCUGAAACUUAAAGGAAUUGACGGGAGGGCACCACCAGGAGUGGAGCCUGUGGCUUAACUUGAUUCAACACGGGAAAACUUACCAGGUCCGGACAUAGUAAGGAUUGACAGAUUGAAGCUCUUUCUUGAUUCUAUGGGUGGUGGUGCAUGGCCGUUCUUAGUUGGUGGAGUGAUUUGUCUGGUUAAUUCCGUUAACGAACGAGACCUCAGCCUGCUAAAUAGUUAGCUCGAUCAUUGAUCGUGUUACACUUCUUAGAGGGACUACUUUGGGUUUACCAAGAGGAAGCAUGAGGCAAUAACAGGUCUGUGAUGCCCUUAGAUGUUCUGGGCCGCACACGGGCUACACUGGUGGCAUCAACAAGCAUGUAUCCUAGACCGACAGGUCUGGGUAAUCUUUUAAAUGUCACCGUGCUUGGGAUAGAAGGUUGCAAUUGUCCUUCUUCAACGAGGAAUUCCUAGUAAACGUAAGUCAUCAGCUUACAUUGAUUACGUCCCUGCCCUUUGUACACACCGCCCGUCGCUCCUACCGAUUGGAUGAUUCGGUAAGCACUCAGGACCGGAAUUGUCUUACUUCUUGUUCGAUAAUAUACGGGAAUGUGUUCAAACCUAAUCAUCUAGAGGAAGGAGAAGUCGUAACAAGGUAACC